UUAUUUUUUUUUGAAUAAAAGUGUUGUUAGUAGAAUAGAAUAAAGGUUUUCUUUAUACCAAAAAGAAAGAAUUAAGGUUUCUUCUAGUCUGUUCAACUCAAUCGCCAUUCCUUCAGAUUAGGAAACCUAAAUCCCUUCAUUUGACGAAGUCUAUGUCGUCCCUCGUCUCAACUCAAGCGCUCUCUUCUUCGAACUCUCUGCGUUCAAUCUUCUGGAGAUCUAACUCAUCUGCAUUUGUCUUCAAUCAAGUUUUGUGUUUUCCCCCCUUCAAUUUCGCGGCCAUUCCUUCAAUUUCUCCGGUCAGUUCACCAAAACCCUAAUCUCAAAUCCAUUACCGUGAUGAAAGUAAGAGCAUCUAAUGAAGUCCGUGUUUUAUAUUUUUGCAUUUUCAAAAUCGAAGUGAGUUGUUUGAUAACAUUGUUGAACAGGUUGCGAUUGGGAAUGAGCGGUGGUGGGGAGGAGGAAUUCACGGCCCAUGGUUUGUUUGACCUUAUGAUUAGGGUUUGGAGAGAAGAUGCUCAAAGAAGUUUCUUCUUUCCAUUUUCUAACUUAUAUUACUAUUUUGUUAAUUUACUUUCUUUUCUUUUUUUUGUAUAUAGUUCUAACAUAAUACUAGUAUAGUAUUCUUAAUAACUCAUAAGUUUCCUGUUCUGAUUUUAGUUUUUUUGUUGAUUAUGUUGUUUUAGAUUAAGCAAAGCUCAUGUCUUAGUCUAUGGAAUGAAUGGAACAAAUAGAUGAAGUAAAGCUAUAAGUUGUCUAUAUGGUUUGACUGUUUUGUGCUGGUGGUUUUUGGGAUUGUUUGGCUGAUCUGUUUCAAUGCUUGGGGCCUUUCGUCUGCUGUAUUUUUUGGCCUGCAUUUAUCUACGGUUAAGGCAGCUGAUUACAGACCAACAACAAACAAUCAAUUCCAUCCUUGCUCGUCAAAAUAAAAUGAUUGCCGCAAGCUAAACAUGCAAAUAUAGAUAUGGAAUCAAUGAAUUUGAAUGAAGAUAAUCCUUUUUUUUUUGACGCAAGAUAAUCCUUUUGUUAGUUAUACUACUCAUGGAAGUAAUGCAAAUGAUGGUACAUAUGUUGAUGAGAACUAUUUGACGAUUUUGGAAUGUAGAACAUAAUAAUUAUUUAAAGUAUGAGUAAACACUUAGUUAUUAAAACUUUAACCUUUUGGAUUUAUUGAUAAAUACAAUUUUGAUA
Molecule: long non-coding RNA, 1191 nt
Organism: Trifolium pratense (red clover)
Lineage: Eukaryota; Viridiplantae; Streptophyta; Magnoliopsida; Fabales; Fabaceae
Exons: 3
Source: RefSeq, a predicted model, not a curated record